Molecule: non-coding RNA, 75 nt
Organism: Myotis davidii
Lineage: Eukaryota; Metazoa; Chordata; Mammalia; Chiroptera; Vespertilionidae
Source: Rfam
GGUGGUUUUCGGGUAACACACCCCAGAAUCAGGCUCCCUCCUCUUUGGUUCCAGGUGUGUCACCCGAGAACCACA